UCAUCUCCUUUAAUUGUCACAACAGAGCUAUGUGGCCUGAAAAAUUGUACUGCUACUUUACAGAUUACGAAACUGAGGGCCAAAGAGCCAAGUUACUAGUCAAGAAUGAUGUAAAUCAUAAAUGGUAGAGACAGGAUUCAGGCCCAGGUCUCUGACUCUAGAACCCAUGUGGUUGCUACUGUGAUGCAGAGUACAUAAGUAUCCAGAGCCAAGAGAUGCUGGGAGAGCUCUGGAUGCCAGUUGUCCAGCUCUUCCUGGGUGCCAGGUAGCAGAGCUGCCAUUCAGCAUUGGUGGGUGCCCCUUGAGAGGAAUACCCCCAACAGAAGCUGCAGCCUAUCUUUUCCAUGUUGUUUUAGUUGGUGAAGGCCACCCAAGAGAUGGGAUACAGCAGGUUGACAUUCAUUUGAUUUUUCUGAACCUCAUUUCCAAUGAACCAUUCUUCGUCUUCCCUUCCCACCAAAGGGUUCUGAAAGAAAUGAGCCAGCAUAGAUCAGCUCUUAGGAGUCAGCCACCUUACCUGGCUCAGUGACAGGCAGGGAGCCCAGAUGCACUGCUGGGGGAUGGCUCUGGAUCACAGCACCACCUUUGAUGGGCUUCCAGACCAGGGCACUAUUUCAAAUGUCAUUAAGAAACUUCAGCAAAUGUCCUGUAUGGAAGACACUCAUCUUGGCCACUUUGUAGAUAAGGCCACUAAGGGGACAAAGGUGUGGGAGGAAACAUUGUGGAGAGCAUUGAUUUCUACAUUUGCUUUGGAAAGUGAGUGGGGAAAGAGUGCAAUUUAAUUUAAUUUCUGUUAUUUUUAUAGGAAGACAAGUCUAACUGCUUUCAUGAGAAUUAAGCUAUUCAUUCUAUCAUGCAGAAAAGAUCUUGAGUCAUCCAUGUAUUAAUCUGGUCCACCAAGGACCAGACACCAAGAGAGAGUAAAGGUGUGUGACCUGGAGAUUGGCAGCUGCCAUCUGCCUCUACAUGGACUGAAUCAUGAGCUGCUGUAGCUGCCGACCCUCAACACCACUGAAAGGAGUGGAGAUCAGGAGUGAGGUGUGCUGUGCUCUGGGAAAACUGGCAGAACAGGCCUUCAGAUGGUUAGAUAUUAUCAUAAGUUUUUUCAAGCCCAAUCCUUUCAUCUCCUUAUGUCUAGAAAAAUCACAAAAGUCCUUCAUGGUGGCUUCUGCUCUUCAUGACUAGCAGUGACAUUCAUGAGACUAGCAGCAACCUUCUGCAAAACAUGGGCUUGGUUGUGUGUACCUCCCCCUUUGCCAAAAUCGCAUUUAUACUGACCUUCCCCUCUGCCUCUUUGGAGAAGUUUCACAAGAGCUAGCAAAUGCUGCCUCCAAGGCUCUAAUCCUCAUUUUGCCCAGAAUAAAACUUAAUUCACAACUCUCAUGUUGGGCAUUUUUUAAAAUUUGAUAGAUGUUAGGGUUGUAUUAUGAAAAAUGCCUGUGUGAGAGUAAACAGGGACAAGGCUGGGGGAAAUGUUAGGCUGUUGUUCAAGUCCCAGGCUGGGUAUAGGAUCAAGGGCUGGGUGGGUGCCCUGGAAACCAUGCCAUUGGCAAGACAGUUAUGGAGCCCUGGAGCCAAAAUCACUUAUCAGAGGAGUCCUGUGUCUCCCAGGAGCAGGUCUGCUCAGGCAUCCCACCCACUCUGUUGUUGGCUAAAAGCAGCCUGCAGAAAGCAUGACCUUGGUGUCCUGGUACAAGGCACUUGGGUGCAGGGAUGGAGGAUAACAGUCUGUGCCCUGCCCUGGGGCCACCCUGCAGUGCUGCCUGGCUACAGUGGGACUAUGGAUGUCAGAGUGAGGCCCAUUCUUGAAUCACCACAGCUCAUCCACACAGAGCUCUUACAUCUCAGGAAUUUGCCUUUUAGGCAGAGAAGAGGCUUUGAAUCUCCGGGCAAGUUGCUUGCCACCUCUGAGCUCCACUGACUUCUCUCUCUGGUGGGACAAUGGAUGCCAGUCCCCAUGCCUUACCACAGUGUUUCUGGGGAUCAAGCCAAAUAAGACUGUGGCUGAAAAUGCAUUUUAUAGAUGAAAGGAUACACUGAAAGUACAGUUUUCAGCUCACUCCAAUCUGAGGGAAAAGAGAGGGGACAAGGGGUACCUGCAAGGGCGAAGAAAGGGCAGCAUCAUCCUGCCUCGAGACCUACAGUGCUGAGUCUGAGGGCUUCUCUGGUUACCAUGGGCUGAGUGACUCUGGGCAGAGCCUUGUCCUGCCUCUCUUUGGCCACAGGUCCCCCUUGAGGGGUCUCACUUCCAUCCUGCUGAAAUGUUGAAAUGUCUGGGAAGGAGUCAUGGCACCUGAAUGGAAAUGAGUCCAUGCAGAGCGUUUUGUCAUAUACCAAGCCCUCUUAGGACAGAAACUGCCUUCCCACAAUCAGUGGCUACUGCAAAGCCCAAGAGAAUGGCAGCUGCAAUGCCACAUGGAAAAUGAAGAUGCAGAACGUGGUCAGCUGGGGUUCUGGGAUGUGGCUUGUGGCCUCAUCAUCCAUCUUGGUCAGAUGUUAUUAUUUUGGUGAGGAAUUUGACUCUUCUCCCCUUGAUGUCAUGUUUCCCUAUGUGUGUAACCUACUUUGUUCACACUCUGUCUCCUGCUGUGCCUCUUUUUAGUGCUAACAGGUAUUAUUUCCUCCCCCAGGGGUUGUGGAAUAUUCCAUGGGGCAACCUUAAACUUUGACCUUUCAGGACACAUUAGUAUGCCUUUCUGGGCAAGAGAUGCCACACCAAAGAUGUACACCAAAGGAGGCUUUGAAAACAGGGAGGAUGUUACACAA
Molecule: long non-coding RNA, 2766 nt
Filed under: Sus scrofa (pig)
Lineage: Eukaryota; Metazoa; Chordata; Mammalia; Artiodactyla; Suidae
Description: lncRNA (ENSSSCG00015077910.1)
Source: RNAcentral